AUUGAACGCUGGCGGCAUGCUUUACACAUGCAAGUCGGACGGCAGCACAGAGAAGCUUGCUUCUUGGGUGGCGAGUGGCGAACGGGUUAGUAAUAUAUCGGAACGUACCGAGUAAUGGGGGAUAACUAAUCGAAAGAUUAGCUAAUACCGCAUAUUCUCUGAGGAUGAAAGCAGUGGACCUUCGGGCCUUUCGUUUUUCCAUCGGCCGAUAUCUGAUUAGCUAGUUGGUGGGGUAAAGGCCUACCAAGGCGACGAUCAGUAGCGGGUCUGAGAGGAUGAUCCGCCACACUGGGACUGAGACACGGCCCAGACUCCUACGGGAGGCAGCAGUGGGGAAUUUUGGACAAUGGGCGCAAGCCUGAUCCAGCCAUGCCGCGUGUCUGAAGAAGGCCUUCGGGUUGUAAAGGACUUUUGUCAGGGAAGAAAAGGCUGUUGCUAAUACCGACAGCUGAUGACGGUACCUGAAGAAUAAGCACCGGCUAACUACGUG
RNAcentral lists this ribosomal RNA (490 nucleotides) under uncultured bacterium. Its description in RNAcentral is "partial 16S ribosomal RNA". It matches the Rfam family "Bacterial small subunit ribosomal RNA", at positions 30 to 507 of the family's 1533-position model. The record is from RNAcentral.